UUUAUUAAUUUAAAUAAAAAGAAAAGAAAAAGAAAAUCCUUAUUUAUAUAUAUUUUUUUCUUUUCUUUUUCUUUUUUUUUCUCUCUUCUUCUUCCUCCGUGCGUCGCGUAACUUUCCGUCCAGAUCUGCGUCACCGUGCCCGGUCCUCGCCGCCGCUCGUGCUUCACCCUUGCAGUUCGCAGUAGCUCAGAUCCGUCGCUGCAACCGUCGGCCGGUUCGUGAAGCCCUGCCGCGCAACCUCUGUUUCCAGCCGCCGCCCAUUCCGUUCUCCUCUGUUUUCUGUACUGCUGCGCGACUCUCCGACCGCGUCUGUCUUCACCUCCGUGAAGUCGUCGACACAUACAUCUUGUGAAGCCCGGUCGCCGCGUCAGAUCGUCGAUCGAUUUUGAGGCAGCCGCCACGUUCCCUUUGGCCGACCGCUGACCGACCCACACUUAGGAUUUUGCUGCGAGUUCGACAGUCGUGCGUUGAGGUGUUGGGAGUAACGUUAGGCUCCCUUACAUUCACAACCAGUUUGUGAGUUGUUGAGGGUUCAGUUCGCCAAUAUAUCGGUGAGUUGGAACUUACGUUGAGGAAAGUAAGUGAGAUAUGUAUCGUGAAAGUAAUUGAAUUUUGUGUUUGUUGUGCUUAGGAUUGUUUCGAGGACGUUAGUUGAUUAAGGAGCUUCCCCAACUUUGAGGUAAGGGAUUUUCUACUGGACCCAAUUGUGAUUGUGAACUGUGAUUGUGAACUGUAUGUGUGUUGAAUGUAUACUGGGGUUGACUGAAAAUAUAUAUGAAUGUAUGUGAAUUGAAGUAGACUUGACGUCGAAUGUAUGUCGUGAUUGUCCUGGAAUCUAUAUAUAAAUGUGUGUAUGUGGACAGGACGGAAAUUGUAGAUUGUGCUUGUAUGAGAUGCAGAUGUGAACUUGUGAUUGUCGUUUAGAUUGGGUGUACGUUACGCUAAAGUAUGACUGUGAGCUGGUGAACUGAGGGGUGUAUUGACUGUAUAGUUGAUUGACUGACGUAUUAGUAUAUUAUUGACAGACAUAUGACUAAAGUGAGAUAAGUUGACUGUUAGGACGUUGAGAGAAAGAACUUUAUGUUUUGAAGUAACUGAAAGAUGGAUUGAAUGGAAUGAGGGGGUAAAUUGUUAGAUUGUAUUGGGAUGUUUACCUUGUAGGUGUCCCACGGGAUCACCAAUUUAUUGUGCACCUUCGGGAGCAUUUGACUGAUAUGUGUUUCUGCAG
RNAcentral lists this long non-coding RNA (1228 nucleotides) under Cucumis sativus (cucumber). Its description in RNAcentral is "long non-coding RNA (CSAT_LNC001944)". The record is from RNAcentral. Lineage: Eukaryota; Viridiplantae; Streptophyta; Magnoliopsida; Cucurbitales; Cucurbitaceae.